AAAUAAGAAGCAAAAUUUGCAAUUAGUUUCGACCUAAUCUUAGAUAUUAUAUAUCCUUAUUUU
Molecule: transfer RNA, 63 nt
Filed under: Eupolyphaga sinensis
Lineage: Eukaryota; Metazoa; Arthropoda; Insecta; Blattodea; Corydiidae
Description: tRNA-Arg
Source: RNAcentral